Molecule: ribosomal RNA, 380 nt
Filed under: uncultured cyanobacterium
Lineage: Bacteria; Bacillati; Cyanobacteriota
Description: bacterial SSU rRNA
Rfam family: Bacterial small subunit ribosomal RNA
Source: RNAcentral
CGAAAGCCUGACGGAGCAAUACCGCGUGAGGGAUGAAGGCCUUUGGGUUGUAAACCUCUUUUAUCAAGGAGGAAGUUCUGACGUGUACUUGAUGAAUAAGCAUCGGCUAACUCCGUGCCAGCAGCCGCGGUAAGACGGAGGAUGCAAGUGUUAUCCGGAAUUACUGGGCGUAAAGCGUCUGUAGGUGGUUUGGUAAGUCAACUGUUAAAUCUUGAGGCUCAACUUCAAAACAGCAGUCGAAACUAUCAGACUAGAGUAUAGUAGGGGUAAAGGGAAUUUCCAGUGGAGCGGUGAAAUGCGUAGAUAUUGGAAAGAACACCGAUGGCGAAGGCACUUUACUGGGCUAUUACUAACACUCAGAGACGAAAGCUAGGGUAGCA